RNAcentral lists this ribosomal RNA (165 nucleotides) under uncultured bacterium. RNAcentral describes it as "partial 16S rRNA". It matches the Rfam family "Bacterial small subunit ribosomal RNA", at positions 354 to 511 of the family's 1533-position model. The record is from RNAcentral.
GUAGGGAAUCUUCCACAAUGGACGCAAGUCUGAUGGAGCAACGCCGCGUGAGUGAAGAAGGGUUUCGGCUCGUAAAGCUCUGUUGUUAAAGAAGAACGUGGGUAAGAGUAACUGUUUACCCAGUGACGGUAUUUAACCAGAAAGCCACGGCUAACUACGUGCUAG